Molecule: unclassified non-coding RNA, 478 nt
Filed under: Stemphylium sp. 4 DT-2021
Lineage: Eukaryota; Fungi; Ascomycota; Dothideomycetes; Pleosporales; Pleosporaceae
Description: sequence contains ITS1, 5.8S rRNA gene, ITS2
Rfam family: 5.8S ribosomal RNA (bases 201-354)
Source: RNAcentral
ACAAUAUGAAAGCGGGCUGGGUUCACCCUAAAGACGCGCCGCCACUCGGCGUGUGUGCUCUUUGGGGCCAGCUUGUCUGAAUUAUUCACCCAUGUCUUUUGCGCACUUCUUGUUUCCUGGGCGGGUUCGCCCGCCACCAGGACCACACCAUAAACCUUUUUGUAAUUGCAAUCAGCGUCAGUAAAAAAUGUAAUUAUUACAACUUUCAACAACGGAUCUCUUGGUUCUGGCAUCGAUGAAGAACGCAGCGAAAUGCGAUACGUAGUGUGAAUUGCAGAAUUCAGUGAAUCAUCGAAUCUUUGAACGCACAUUGCGCCCUUUGGUAUUCCAAAGGGCAUGCCUGUUCGAGCGUCAUUUGUACCCUCAAGCUUUGCUUGGUGUUGGGCGUCUAUUGUCUCUUGCGAGACUCGCCUUAAAAUGAUUGGCAGCCGGCCUACUGGUUUCGGAGCGCAGCACAAAUUUGCGCUUCUGAUCAGCC